Molecule: ribosomal RNA, 1018 nt
Filed under: uncultured bacterium
Lineage: Bacteria
Description: bacterial SSU rRNA
Rfam family: Bacterial small subunit ribosomal RNA
Source: RNAcentral
AGGAAUAUUGGUCAAUGGACGAGAGUCUGAACCAGCCAAGUAGCGUGAAGGAUGAAGGUUCUAUGGAUUGUAAACUUCUUUUAUACGGGAAUAAACGAAUCCACGCGUGGAUUUUUGCAUGUACCGUAUGAAUAAGGAUCGGCUAACUCCGUGCCAGCAGCCGCGGUAAUACGGAGGAUCCGAGCGUUAUCCGGAUUUAUUGGGUUUAAAGGGAGCGUAGAUGGGUUGUUAAGUCAGUUGUGAAAGUUUGCGGCUCAACCGUAAAAUUGCAAUUGAUACUGGCAGUCUUGAGUACAGUUGAGGUAGGCGGAAUUCGUGGUGUAGCGGUGAAAUGCUUAGAUAUCACGAAGAACUCCGAUUGCGAAGGCAGCUUACUAACCUGUAACUGACAUUGAUGCUCGAAAGUGUGGGUAUCAAACAGGAUUAGAUACCCUGGUAGUCCACACGGUAAACGAUGAAUACUCGCUGUAGGCGAUAUACAGUCUGCGGCCAAGCGAAAGCAUUAAGUAUUCCACCUGGGGAGUACGCCGGCAACGGUGAAACUCGAAGGAAUUGACGGGGGCCCGCACAAGCGGAGGAACAUGUGGUUUAAUUCGAUGAUACGCGAGGAACCUUACCCGGGCUUAAAUUGCAACCGAAUAUGGCGGAAACGCUAUAGCUAGCAAUAGCGGUUGUGAAGGUGCUGCAUGGUUGUCGUCAGCUCGUGCCGUGAGGUGUCGGCUUAAGUGCCAUAACGAGCGCAACCCUUGCCGAUAGUUACUAACAGGUUAUGCUGAGGACUCUGUCGGGACUGCCAUCGUAAGAUGUGAGGAAGGUGGGGAUGACGUCAAAUCAGCACGGCCCUUACGUCCGGGGCUACACACGUGUUACAAUGGGGGGUACAGAGGGCUGCUACCACGCAAGUGGAUGCCAAUCCCAAAAACCUCUCUCAGUUCGGAUGGAAGUCUGCAACCGGACUUCAUGAAGCGGGAUUCGCUAGUAAUCGGGCAUCAGCCACGGCGCGGGGAAUACGUUCCCG